This 434-nucleotide ribosomal RNA is filed under the name uncultured Clostridium sp. RNAcentral describes it as "partial 16S ribosomal RNA". It matches the Rfam family "Bacterial small subunit ribosomal RNA", at positions 341 to 792 of the family's 1533-position model. The record is from RNAcentral. Lineage: Bacteria; Bacillati; Bacillota; Clostridia; Eubacteriales; Clostridiaceae.
ACGGGAGGCAGCAGUGGGGAAUAUUGGACAAUGGGGGAAACCCUGAUCCAGCGACGCCGCGUGAGUGAAGAAGUAUUUCGGUAUGUAAAGCUCUAUCAGCGGGGAAGAAAAUGACGGUACCUGACUAAGAAGCCCCGGCUAACUACGUGCCAGCAGCCGCGGUAAUACGUAGGGGGCAAGCGUUAUCCGGAUUUACUGGGUGUAAAGGGAGCGUAGACGGCAUAGCAAGUCUGAAGUGAAAGCCCGUGGCUCAACUGCGGGACUGCUUUGGAAACUGUUAGUCUUGAGUGUCGGAGAGGUAAGCGGAAUUCCUAGUGUAGCGGUGAAAUGCGUAGAUAUCAGGAGGAACACCAGUGGCGAAGGCGGCUUACUGGACGAUAACUGACGUUGAGGCUCGAAAGCGUGGGGAGCAAACAGGAUUAGAUACCCUGGUA